CCUACGGGCGGCAGCAGUAGGGAAUCUUCCACAAUGGGCGCAAGCCUGAUGGAGCAACACCGCGUGAGUGAAGAAGGGUUUCGGCUCGUAAAGCUCUGUUGUUGGAGAAGAACGUGCGUGAGAGUAACUGUUCACGCAGUGACGGUAUCCAACCAGAAAGUCACGGCUAACUACGUUCCAGCAGCCGCGGUAAUACGUAGGUGGCAAGCGUUAUCCGGAUUUAUUGGGCGUAAAGGGAGCGCAGGCGGUUGCUUAGGUAUGAUGUGAAAGCCUUCGGCUUAACCGAAGAAGUGCAUCGGAAACCGGGCGAAUAGAGAGUAGAAGAGGAGAGUGGAACGCAAUGGGUAGCGGUGGAAUGCGUAGAUAUA
This 368-nucleotide ribosomal RNA is filed under the name uncultured bacterium. RNAcentral's name for it is "partial 16S ribosomal RNA". It matches the Rfam family "Bacterial small subunit ribosomal RNA", at positions 338 to 698 of the family's 1533-position model. The record is from RNAcentral.